This 242-nucleotide ribosomal RNA is filed under the name uncultured bacterium. Its description in RNAcentral is "partial 16S ribosomal RNA". It matches the Rfam family "Bacterial small subunit ribosomal RNA", at positions 91 to 334 of the family's 1533-position model. The record is from RNAcentral.
CUUAGUGGCGACCGGGUGCGUAACACGUAGCUGACCUGCCCCUCAGCGGGGGACAACAGUUCGAAAGGACUGCUAAUACCGCAUAAUUUUCAUGUUUUUAGAAAGCAUGAAAUAAACUUACGGGGCUGAGGGAGGGAGCUGCGGCCCAUCAGGUAGUUGGUGAGGUAACGGCUCACCAAGCCGACGACGGGUAGGGGGCCUGAGAGGGUGGUCCCCCACACUGGAACUGACAAACGGUCCAG